GAGACAUUAAAGGUGACACACAUCAAUGUAUUGUAUUGCCCAACUUGUGGACUCUUGUCCCCAAUACAAUUAACUCAUAAUUUAAAUGUAUACAAAGGUGUUGGAUGAUGACAGUUGUUUAUAAUAAUAAUUUCAUGGCAUUUGAAACACAGGUGGAAAAUUAAGACAUCAGUUAAGUUAAGAGAGAGCUUGAGAUGUGCACGGUCCAACCAGCACAGGCAGUUCAACUAGAAUAAAUGGUCAAGGAAAGUGCGUUGAAAGGAAAAUUACAGUGUCUCAGCCGUCUCUUCCAUCGUUCGUCUCCAUCAAAAGAUCUAUUGUUAAUUGAUCUCGACGAUUGUCAUAACCAACUGUUGAGUUAUCUACGUUCCCCUCCUGGUUGUUCUCAUCAUCCACUCUGGAACACAAAAGGGAUUGAUCCUCCUCAGCUCCAACUCCAUUUUGUGUGUGUGUGUGUGUGUGUGUGUGUGUGUGUGUGUGUGUGUGUGUGUGU
RNAcentral lists this long non-coding RNA (493 nucleotides) under Androctonus crassicauda. Lineage: Eukaryota; Metazoa; Arthropoda; Arachnida; Scorpiones; Buthidae. The record is from RNAcentral.